AUGGACGCGGCAGAGGAGAGGAGACUGCUGGUCCAAGGGGACGGGGAUCACGAGCCGCUCCUCCUUCCUUCCCAGCAGGAUGCUAGUGUUUACACAGGGGAUGGAUCCGUCGACAUCAAAGGCCGUCCUGCGACGAGGCGCGCCACGGGCAACUGGCGAGCCUGCUUCUUCAUCCUAGGAACUGAGUGUUGUGAGCGUCUGGCCUACUAUGGAAUUGCAACAAACCUAGUUACUUAUCUGAAAAUAAAGCUUCAUCAAGGCAAUCUUGAAGCUGCAAGAAAUGUUAUCACUUGGCAAGGGACAUGCUAUCUGACUACCCUCGUUGGAGCCAUCCUAGCAGAUUCUUAUUGGGGAAAGUACUGGACUAUUGCUGUUUUCUCAUCGAUUUAUUUCAUUGGUCUGGCUGGUUUAACGAUUUCAGCAUCAUUUCCAGCACUUCAACCACCUUCAUGUUUAGGAUCUGUCUGUCCAGAACCAAGCCUACUUCAGAAUGGCACAUUUUUCCUGGGUCUCUAUAUGAUUGCCCUAGGAACUGGAGGCAUUAAACCUUGUGUGUCAUCCUUUGGAGCGGAUCAAUUUGAUGACAGUGAUCCGACAGAGAGAGUAAAGCAGGGUUCCUUCUUCAACUGGUUCUAUUUCUGCAUAAAUGUCGGUGCACUCUUAUCAGGCACUGUUAUUGUUUGGAUACAAGAUAACUCAGGUUGGGGAAUAGGAUUUGCCAUUCCUACUGUAUUUAUGGCAUUGGCUAUUGCAAGCUUCUUUUCAGCCUCAAAUAUGUACAGAUUUCAGAAACCCGGUGGGAGUCCAAUUACAAGAGUGUGCCAGGUUGUUGUCGCAGCAUUCCGUAAGUGGCAUAUCGAGUUGCCACUCGAUGCAUCUCUUCUGUAUGAGGUUGAUAGUCAAAAUUCAGCAAUAGAGGGAAGCCGGAAGCUGGAGCACACAAGUGAACUUGAAUUCCUUGACAAGGCUGCCAUCAUCUCAUCUACUGAUGCCAAGAGUGACUUUUCUGCAAACCCAUGGAGGCUAUGCACUGUCACCCAAGUGGAAGAACUGAAGAUCCUUGUAAGAAUGUUCCCGGUUUGGGCUACUACUAUCAUAUUCAGCGCGGUAUUUGCUCAGAGCUCCGUAUUCGUGGAGCAGGGAAUGGUUCUUGACAAACGGGUUGGAUCUUUCGAUAUUCCUCCGGCAUCCCUAUUUACUUUCAACGGAAUCAGUGUCAUGAUCUGGAUUGCAAUUUAUGACCGCGUCCUCAUACCCAUAGCUAGAAAGUUCACUGGAAGGGAAAAGGGUUUCUCUGAGCUACAGCGAAUGGGCAUUGGAUUAGCCCUGUCCAUUGCGACAAUGGUAUCUGCAGCUCUUGUUGAGUUGAAGCGCUUAGAGAUUGCCAGGACUGAGGGUCUCAUCCAUGAGAAUGUUGCUGUUCCAAUGAGCAUUCUUUGGCAAAUACCACAGUAUUGCUUUGCUGGUGCUGCCGAGGUUUUCACCGCUAUAGGUCAAGUCGAGUUCUUCUACAGUCAGGCCCCAGAUGCCAUGAGGAGCUUAUGUGCUGCAUUAGCACUUGUUACGGUCACGGUGGGAAGCUAUUUAAGCUCAAUCAUAUUGACCUUGGUGUCAUACCUUACAACUCAAGGAGGAGAUGCAGGAUGGAUCCCGGAUAAUUUGAACGAAGGCCAUCUUGACCGGUUCUUUUGGUUGAUGGCAGGGAUCAGCUUUGUAAAUUUGCUGGUUUACAUUGGUUGCGCAAUGAGAUACAAAUAUAAGAAUUCGUGA
RNAcentral lists this ribosomal RNA (1770 nucleotides) under Triticum aestivum (bread wheat). RNAcentral's name for it is "partial small subunit ribosomal RNA". Lineage: Eukaryota; Viridiplantae; Streptophyta; Magnoliopsida; Poales; Poaceae. The record is from RNAcentral.